GUUUGAUCCUGGCUCAGAUUGAACGCUGGCGGCAUGCUUUACACAUGCAAGUCGAACGGCAGCACGGGGGCAACCUUGGUGGCGAGUGGCGAACGGGUGAGUAAUAUAUCGGAACGUACCCGGAAAUGGGGGAUAACGUAGCGAAAGUUACGCUAAUACCGCAUAUGCCCUAAGGGGGAAAGCGGGGGAUUCGUAAGAACCUCGCGUUUUCGGAGCGGCCGAUAUCGGAUUAGCUAGUAGGUGAGGUAAAGGCUCACCUAGGCGACGAUCCGUAGCUGGUCUGAGAGGACGACCAGCCACACUGGAACUGAGACACGGUCCAGACUCCUACGGGAGGCAGCAGUGGGGAAUUUUGGACAAUGGGCGCAAGCCUGAUCCAGCCAUGCCGCGUGAGUGAAGAAGGCCUUCGGGUUGUAAAGCUCUUUCAGCCGGAAAGAAAACGCACGGGUUAAUACCCUGUGUGGAUGACGGUACCGGAAGAAGAAGCACCGGCUAACUACGUGCCAGCAGCCGCGGUAAUACGUAGGGUGCGAGCGUUAAUCGGAAUUACUGGGCGUAAAGCGUGCGCAGGCGGUUUUGUAAGACAGAUGUGAAAUCCCCGGGCUUAACCUGGGAACUGCAUUUGUGACUGCAAGGCUAGAGUACGGCAGAGGGGGGUAGAAUUCCACGUGUAGCAGUGAAAUGCGUAGAUAUGUGGAGGAAUACCGAUGGCGAAGGCAGCCCCCUGGGUCGAUACUGACGCUCAUGCACGAAAGCGUGGGGAGCAAACAGGAUUAGAUACCCUGGUAGUCCACGCCCUAAACGAUGUCAACUAGGUGUUGGGGGAGGAGA
RNAcentral lists this ribosomal RNA (831 nucleotides) under uncultured bacterium. RNAcentral describes it as "bacterial SSU rRNA". It matches the Rfam family "Bacterial small subunit ribosomal RNA", at positions 11 to 835 of the family's 1533-position model. The record is from RNAcentral.